CCUUAUGCUGAGCCUUCCCAUCCACUCUAAAGGAUGUGGCUCGGUAUUGGUAUUCGAGCUUGAAGCUCAGGACCAUCCACUCAUUUGACCAGAUGCAUCAUUUGUUUGUGACUCAUUUUAUUAGCUGCAGGAGGCAGUGUAAGGGAUCGGAUUCAUUGAUCAACAUCAAGCAGAAUGAAGGAGAAUUGCUCUGAUCCUAUCUUGGCCAUUUCAAUAUGACCAUCCUAAAAGUUCACGAUCUGGAUUAGUCGAUCACAAUGACCACUCUAAAGGAUGGACUUUUGAAGAAUAGUCUCUGAUACUCGCUGGAGAAGACCUACCCCUGCGACUUCACAGAAAUAUUGGCUCAGGCAGAAAAGUAUGCCCAGACGAAUGAAGCCUUCGAAAAUGAGCCCCCAAUGGGUGCGGGCGCCAAAGAAAAGAAAGAAAAAGAGGUCAAGGUGCCACUACAGAAAGAAGACAAUGAAAAGAAUCAACAGUAUUCCCGAUCUCCACCUAGAUGUCGAAGGUCCCGAACCCCUCCACAAAACCAUCGACAGAAGAGCCCCCUUGAACUCAAGUGCUGAUGGGGAUAAAGGAGCAGCUCCCCUGGGCAAGGAAGAUGAAGGCAAAGUCAGGUCAGUAUAACUCAAAUAAGUACUACUUCUACCAUCGCGACCAC
Molecule: long non-coding RNA, 661 nt
Filed under: Elaeis guineensis (African oil palm)
Lineage: Eukaryota; Viridiplantae; Streptophyta; Magnoliopsida; Arecales; Arecaceae
Description: long non-coding RNA (EGUI_LNC067139)
Source: RNAcentral